Molecule: ribosomal RNA, 1018 nt
Filed under: Helotiales sp. WMM-2012f
Lineage: Eukaryota; Fungi; Ascomycota; Leotiomycetes; Helotiales
Description: SSU rRNA
Rfam family: Eukaryotic small subunit ribosomal RNA
Source: RNAcentral
CUAUACGGUGAAACUGCGAAUGGCUCAUUAAAUCAGUUGUCGUUUAUUUGAUAGUACCUUACUACUUGGAUAACCGUGGUAAUUCUAGAGCCAAUACUUGCUAAACACCCCGACUUCGGAAGGGGUGUAUUUAUUAGAUAAAAAACCAAUGCCCUUCGGGGCUCCUUGGUGAUUCAUAAUAACUUAACGAAUCGCAUAGCCUUGUGCUGGCGAUGGUUCAUUCAAAUUUCUGCCCUAUCAACUUUCGAUUGUAUGGUAUUGGCUUACAAUGGUUUCAACGGGUAACGGGGAAUUAGGGUUCUAUUCCGGAGAGGGAGCCUGAGAAACGGCUACCACAUCCAAGGAAGGCAGCAGGCGCGCAAAUUACCCAAUCCCGACACGGGGAGGUAGUGACAAUAAAUACUGAUACAGGGCUCUUUUGGGUCUUGUAAUUGGAAUGAGUACAAUUUAAAUCCCUUAACGAGGAACAAUUGGAGGGCAAGUCUGGUGCCAGCAGCCGCGGUAAUUCCAGCUCCAAUAGCGUAUAUUAAAGUUGUUGCAGUUAAAAAGCUCGUAGUUGAACCUUGGGUUUGGUUGGUCGGUCCGCCUCACCGCGUGCACUGAUCCGACCGAAUCUUUCCUUCUGGGGAACCGUAUGCUCUUCACUGGGUGUACUGGGGAACCAGGACUUUUACUUUGAAAAAAUUAGAGUGUUCAAAGCAGGCCUAUGCUCGAAUACAUUAGCAUGGAAUAAUAGAAUAGGACGUGUGGUUCUAUUUUGUUGGUUUCUAGGACCGCCGUAAUGAUUAAUAGGGAUAGUCGGGGGCAUCAGUAUUCAAUUGUCAGAGGUGAAAUUCUUGGAUUUAUUGAAGACUAACUACUGCGAAAGCAUUUGCCAAGGAUGUUUUCAUUAAUCAGUGAACGAAAGUUAGGGGAUCGAAGACGAUCAGAUACCGUCGUAGUCUUAACCAUAAACUAUGCCGACUAGGGAUCGGGCGGUGUUAUCUUUUUGACCCGCUCGGCACCUUACGAGAAAUCA